RNAcentral lists this unclassified non-coding RNA (966 nucleotides) under Yarrowia lipolytica. The record is from RNAcentral. Lineage: Eukaryota; Fungi; Ascomycota; Dipodascomycetes; Dipodascales.
AAGAAUCCGCCAAGUACGUGUUUCGUCUCAAACACUGAAAAAGACAGGUUCUUUUUAUCGCCGGCUAAGAAAGAGGCGGCUUGAAUGGGCGUCCUAGGAUCUAGUUACUACCAUAGGUAGGGCUAGUCAUAGACGGGUGCUUCCCGAAGAGCUAUGAGCCAUACGACUGUGUCUUCCGAGGGUGUCGGAUAGGCACGGUCAGGCCAGAGUCUCCAGGGGGGCAUCUCAAUCCCAAGGAGGAAUUUAUUUUGUUUACAGGGAGGGUGUGCGUCAACCAUGCCCAGGUUCCAAGCAUGCUAUGGACUCAGGGACAGAGUCUCAUAGGGAGUGCCCCGGAAAACCCGUGUCUACUGGCGAUUUUCGUCUUUAGACACGACGCUACAACCCAGUCAGUUUCAAACCAACUUGCAAUCACCCUUCGCGUCCCAAGAGGGGAUUCUGAUUGCACAGAGACGAAACCAGACUAGCGUCACUCACGUUCUCGGCGGAACCGGUUCGUGAGAUUUACUUUUUUACUUGCUAUCGAUGAUAAUUUUGGCACUGGUGACGUUGGAGCAUAGGAGAUGAUGCUCUUGGUGGAGGAAGGGAGGAGUGGAUUCGGGGGCUUGUUUGCAAGACAGGAGGCGGGGGGAAUAGUGAGGGGCGGUGGGUGUUGGAUGGUAGAUGAGGGAUGGUGGAAGGGGUGGUGGAUGGCAAAUGCGGGUGGUGGGAGGCCGUAGGCUGUGGAUUAUGGAUGGUUGGGCGUGUGAGGGAGAAAGCACUUGAGCCCUCUGGAUGUAUGUCCGGGAUCCCUCGUUCUCAAUCACCUCUGUGUCCAAGGGAGAAAAAGGUCAGACUUUCGGGUUGUGGUCUUCUCAAUCCCAUCCUCCCCGGACAGUGGAAGGAGUGUCGGGAGAGGGAUGCGACAUUCUAUGGAGUUGGGAUUGUGUGGGUGGGAUAUAUAAUUUAAUGUAUUGAUUUUCUUGA